RNAcentral lists this ribosomal RNA (762 nucleotides) under uncultured bacterium. RNAcentral describes it as "bacterial SSU rRNA". It matches the Rfam family "Bacterial small subunit ribosomal RNA", at positions 671 to 1425 of the family's 1533-position model. The record is from RNAcentral.
UGGUGUAGGGGUAAAAUCCGUAGAGAUCAGAAGGAAUACCGAUUGCGAAGGCGAUCUACUGGAACAUUACUGACGCUGAGAUGCGAAAGCGUGGGGAGCAAACAGGAUUAGAUACCCUGGUAGUCCACGCCCUAAACGAUGCACACUAGUUGUUGCUAUGCUAGACAUAGCAGUAAUGCAGUUAACACAGUAAGUGUGCCGCCUGGGGAGUACGGUCGCAAGAUUAAAACUCAAAGGAAUAGACGGGGACCCGCACAAGCGGUGGAGCAUGUGGUUUAAUUCGACGAUACGCGAAGAACCUUACCUGGCCUUGACAUAGAGAGAACUUUCCAGAGACGGAUUGGUGCUAGUUUACUAGAGCUUUCAUACAGGUGCUGCACGGCUGUCGUCAGCUCGUGUCGUGAGAUGUUGGGUUAAGUCCCGCAACGAGCGCAACCCUCGUGUUUAGUUACUAACAGUUCGGCUGAGGACUCUAGACAGACUGCCUGGGCAACCAGGAGGAAGGUGAGGACGACGUCAAGUCAUCAUGGCCCUUACGGCCAGGGCUACACACGUGCUACAAUGGGGUAUACAAAGAGCCGCGAUACCGUGAGGUGGAGCAAAUCUCAUAAAAUAUCUCCCAGUUCGGAUAGCAGUCUGCAACUCGACUGCUUGAAGUUGGAAUCGCUAGUAAUCGUAGAUCAGCAAUGCUACGGUGAAUACGUUCCCGGGUCUUGUACUCACCGCCCCGUCACACCAUGGGGAAAUUGAAAUUCAUUCGAA